GAUGAACGCUGGCGGCGUGCCUAAUACAUGCAAGUCGAACGCACAGCGAAAGGUGCUUGCACCUUUCAAGUGAGUGGCGAACGGGUGAGUAACACGUGGAUAACCUACCUCAAGGUUGGGGAUAACAUUUGGAAACAGAUGCUAAUACCGAAUAAAACUUAGUAUCGCAUGAUACCAGGUUAAAAGGCGCUACGGCGUCACCUAGAGAUGGAUCCGCGGUGCAUUAGUUAGUUGGUGGGUAAAGGCGUUACCAAGACAAUGAUGCAUAGCCGAGUUGAGAGACUGAUCGGCCACAUUGGGACUGAGACACGGCCCAAACUCCUACGGGAGGCUGCAGUAGGGAAUCUUCCACAAUGGGCGAAAGCCUGGUGGAGCAACGCCGCGUGUGUGAUGAAGGCUUUCGGGUCGUAAAGCACUGUUGUAUGGGAAGAACAGCUA
This 438-nucleotide ribosomal RNA is filed under the name uncultured bacterium. RNAcentral's name for it is "bacterial SSU rRNA". It matches the Rfam family "Bacterial small subunit ribosomal RNA", at positions 28 to 455 of the family's 1533-position model. The record is from RNAcentral.